This 406-nucleotide unclassified non-coding RNA is filed under the name soil metagenome. RNAcentral describes it as "partial contains 5.8S ribosomal RNA, internal transcribed spacer 2, and large subunit ribosomal RNA". The stretch from base 1 to 121 matches the Rfam family "5.8S ribosomal RNA", at positions 35 to 154 of the family's 154-position model. The record is from RNAcentral.
GAUGAAGAACGCAGCGAAAUGCGAUAAGUAGUGUGAAUUGCAGAAUUCCGUGAAUCAUCGAAUCUUUGAACGCACCUUGCGCCCUUUGGCCAUUCCGAAGGGCAUGCCUGUUUGAGUAUCAUGAACACCUCAACUCUUCAUGGUUUUCCGUGAUGAGCUUGGACUUUGGGGGUCUUGCUGGCCUAUGGUCAGCUCCUCUAAAAUAAAUCAGCUUGCCAGUGUUUGGUGGGUAUCACAGGUGUGAUAACUAUCUACGCUUGUGGUUUUCCACCAGGUAACCUUCAGCAGUGGAGGUUCGCUGGAGCUCACAGAUGUGUCUCUCCUCAGUGAGGACAGCUCUUUGAAUGUUUGAUCUCAAAUCAGGUAGGACUACCCGCUGAACUUAAGCAUAUCAAUAAGCGGAGGA